UCUUUGCUUAACAGUCUCUCCUACUCCAGUUUUCUUUUGGUAGUUUCUUGGCAUCUUUAUGGGAAUCCCUACUUCUUGACUCCAUGGACCUCAUGAGAGUGACACGUGGGUCAGAUAAAGGAGAACAUACCAGGGAGCACAGGGGAUUGGCAGGCAGCUCUUUAAUGUUCUGAACAAAGCAAAAUUCCCAGUCAACGUUGGAUAGAAAAAGAAAAAGAGACUUCUCCAAAGAAGAAACGGAAAUGGCCAUAGACAUGUGAAAAAAUGUUCGACAUCACUAAUUAUCAGGAAAAUGCAAAUCAAAACCUCGAGGAGAUACUACCUCACUCCAGUGAAAAUUGCCCACAUUAAAAAAAAUCUAGAAAGAACAAAUAUGGAAGUAUGUGGAGAUAAAGGAAGCUUCUUACACUGCUGGUGGGAACUAAACUCUCCAGUCACUCUGGAAAGCUGGGUAGAGGAACCCUAAAAACACUAAAACUGGAUCUACCCUUUGAUCCAGCAAUUACACUCCUAGGGAUCUACCCAAAGGACAUUAAAAAACUAAAUCGAAUGGAACCUGCACACCCAUGCUUUUUACAACAUUAUUUACAAUAACCCAGUUAUGGAAAUGCCCCAAAAUAGACAAAUGGAACAAGAAGACGUGAUAUAUUUACACAGUGGACUAUGACUCGGCAGUCAAAAAGGAAAACUUGUGCCUCUUGUGGCAACAUGGACGGAGCUGGAGAGCAUUAUGCCAGCCAAAGACCUCCCCUGUGGUGCAGUGGAUUGAGCACAGUGAUAUGAAGCUGUCCACAGUCUAUGCAGUGCGGGUUCGAUUCCCAUCAAGCCAGGGAGAAACCCACAUGGCGCAGUAGACCUCGUCUUCCUCCCCCGCUGCUCCCCUCAGCAGUGUCUUCGGUCCAUGUGCCUGUUCCCCACUCUGUCUCUGACAACGGCUUUGUCAAGAAUCUACACAUCUGGGAGAUCUGUUUUAACUUGACACUUUCAAAAUUAGUCCUGGAGCUGUGCAUUGUAAAGAGAGGAAAUAUGACACCUGUGGCAGUGGACUUGGAUGUCAAGACCCAGCAGAGUUGCACUUACAAAGGAAAUGAAGCAUUUGGAUUUAGAUAGUAGUUUUAUUGGUGACGUUAUAUCUGCAUUAAAAGUCAGAUGAUUAAACUCUAAUUUGACCAUAUAUUUCUACAGCCUCUAAGGGGAACACAAUCUGCCUAAGAACAGGAUGCUGCCAGAGGAGUUGUGACGAAUCAUGAAGAUGAAUGGGUGGUCGGCAACGAAAUUUUGCUCUAUCCCAGAUUUACGCAUGAAUAUGCCAACUGUGAUGGCCACUGCCUCUGUGCCCUCCUCAUUCACCUCCACAAAGGACUUGUGAAUCAUUUUUGAUAUGAAAAUAUCUGUGGUAUCUGUCAUGCCAGACAGAUCCGCCUUGCUGCUGCUAAAGAGAUCUUCCACACCCAUGCGAGCCAGGUGGGAGCUGAGAUCAUAGGUCUCCUCCAGCUUGAAUUUGGGCAAGUGCACGUGGACAUCCCUAUGAACCAUAUUCUUGGGCUUGGUCCACUCAUGCAGUUUUUCCAAUGUCAACUGCUGCUCGAUCUGGAAUUAGAAUGUGCAAAGAGAAAACAAUUUUAUAUAGAGAACAGAUGAAGGUGGAAAACAACUGAAAGAGGGACAUGCUGAUAUUUCCAUCCUCUAUAUAUGCAAAUAGAUACUACAUUAGGAUCCCCUCCAGACUGCAACUUUGAUGCGGGUCUCAUUCACUUAGAGAUGUUUCCGUUAAGUGGGGUCAUAGAGGCUUUGCACCUGGAAAGGUCCAUAACCCUGACCCCAGGGCUGGCCGUCCCGGCUGCAGCAGGUCUGCACAUGCAAAGCUGACCCAGGAAAUGCCUAGUCCCGGAGGACAACUGAGACCACAGAGCCAGGGUAAGAACACUUUCCAGAGCACACCAACGUGGAUCCAGGGACGGCCCGAGAAGUGAUGAUCUCCACUUUCCGACACGUCUGAGCCUGCAGACAGCUGAGCCAGGAGCAGCGUGCACCCGAAAGUAAGAAGGUGUCCACUCUAGAACCACAGCCACCUCCAAUGCAUUAAAGCAAAAGUCAUCAAAGCAGUGAUGUCACUCUGGGAAGACACCAGCAGACAUGUGUGUGAAUGUGAGACAUGCUCAGCACACCCUUCUUGGAAUGACACCGGACCCGGAAAGCUCAUAGCGCCAGUCAUGAAGGAUGCAUAAUGAAUACAGCCGGAUAACAAGUGACAAUAGAAAAGUAUGGACCACAGCAUUAUCUAGCCCCACACAGCUGAAUUCCACACAAUGUUCAUAUUUGAACAAUGUGUGAUUUCUCCUCUCAGGUAUAAUCCCCAUAAAA
Long non-coding RNA from Talpa occidentalis (Iberian mole), 2364 nucleotides. RefSeq lists it as uncharacterized. Lineage: Eukaryota; Metazoa; Chordata; Mammalia; Eulipotyphla; Talpidae. The transcript has 8 exons. The record is from RefSeq and is a predicted model, not a curated record.